RNAcentral lists this ribosomal RNA (253 nucleotides) under uncultured bacterium. Its description in RNAcentral is "partial 16S ribosomal RNA". It matches the Rfam family "Bacterial small subunit ribosomal RNA", at positions 524 to 776 of the family's 1533-position model. The record is from RNAcentral.
UACAGAGGGUGCAAACGUUGUUCGGAAUUACUGGGCGUAAAGCGCGUGUAGGCGGCCCGGAAAGUCGGAUGUGAAAGCCCUGGGCUUAACCUAGGAAGUGCAUUCGAAACUGCUGGGCUUGAGUUCUGGAGAGGAAGGCGGAAUUCUCGGUGUAGAGGUGAAAUUCGUAGAUAUCGAGAGGAACACCGGUGGCGAAGGCGGCCUUCUGGACAGUGACUGACGCUGAGACGCGAAAGCGUGGGGAGCAAACAGG